AUUGAACGCUGGCGGCAUGCCUUACACAUGCAAGUCGAACGGUAACAGGUUAAGCUGACGAGUGUCGAACGGGUGAGUAAUGUAUCGGAACGUGCCCAGUCGUGGUGGAUAACUUCUCGAAAGAGCAGCUAAUACCGCAUACGACCUGAGGGUGAAAGCGGGGGGUCGCAAGACCUCGCGCGAUUGGAGCGGCCGAUAUCAGAUUAGGUAGUUGGUGAGGUAAAGGCUCACCAAGCCGACGAUCUGUAGCUGGUCUGAGAGGACGACCAGCCACACUGGGACUGAGACACGGCCCAGACUCCUACGGGAGGCAGCAGUGGGGAAUUUUGGACAAUGGGCGCAAGCCUGAUCCAGCCAUGCCGCGUGCGGGAAGAAGGCCUUCGGGUUGUAAACCGCUUUUGUCAGGGAAGAAAAGGUUCUGGCUAAUACCUGGGACUCAUGACGGUACCUGAAGAAUAAGCACCGGCUAACUACGUG
This 477-nucleotide ribosomal RNA is filed under the name uncultured bacterium. Its description in RNAcentral is "partial 16S ribosomal RNA". It matches the Rfam family "Bacterial small subunit ribosomal RNA", at positions 30 to 507 of the family's 1533-position model. The record is from RNAcentral.